Long non-coding RNA from Oxyura jamaicensis (ruddy duck), 1371 nucleotides. RefSeq lists it as uncharacterized. NCBI's taxonomy places the organism in Eukaryota, Metazoa, Chordata, Aves, Anseriformes, Anatidae. The record is from RefSeq and is a predicted model, not a curated record. The transcript is spliced from 2 exons.
AGUACAAGAUGGAGAUGAUCCUCCAAAGAUGCCUUUCACAAAAAAGCCUCACUUUCUGCAGACAACCUCAUCGUUUUGGACCAGAGAUACUUCUAACCUUGAAGGAAAAGACAGACUGUGGGCACAGAUUGGGAAUUGGAAGACUCUCAAGAUAAAACAGAAUUGUCAUGUGGAGGUCACCCACUGCUUUGUACUGUUAGACACUGGCAGUGAAGUAUCGUAGUCUGUUGCUGUAAACAUCCCCGACUGGAAGCUGUAGCAGCUCUAGCUUUCAGUCAGAUGUUUGCUGCACCCGGCUACUCUUGAGCAACGUCUGACAGAAAAGGUGCUGUAUCGACAUGUGCGUAGAUACGUAGCUCUUAGUUUCUGUAGACACAGCCGAGCUGCCUUCAAGCAAGUUACCCUGGUUGUUGUUAAUAGUGCUGCUAUGAUCCAUUGAAACCUAAUCUGUUAAAAAUGGAGAUGCAAAGUUACAGCACUUGUGUCACUCAGAAGUGAGUCUCUGCUGUGUUGCGGUGCGAGCUAGGAAUUACACCUCACUGGAAUGUAACAGCAACGGGGGCUUAAUUUCAUGUACAGCUAUCCAUAAACCAGACUUCUAUAAAUUAUCUGUCUUAACAGCUUCUGUUACUUAUGACUCUUACGAAAAAAUAAUAUGCUGUCAAGUACUUAGCAGGCAUUUCAUCGGAUGUGCCUUGCUUCUUGUUGUUACUGAAGUUCCAUGUUCUGGGUCUCCUAUGAGUGGGUGGUGCUCUUAUCGUUUGUAAGCUGGAUGUAAAGGCCGAAAUAAAGGUUUAAAAAAAAGAACACGGGAUGUAUUUUUGUAGUAACAAUGCAUAACAUAUACACUUUUGUGGCAUGGUCAUCUUGGUUUCGGCUACCCUCACCACCACAUUUCCAAAGGAUUAUUCUUCACAUAAAAAACAGAUCUUGAAAGUGCUUCAUAAUUAACUCUUCACUAGUUGUUGAGUUAAAGCAAUCAUUUCAAGAAGAACAACUCUGCAAAACAGCUUCAGCACUCUUCACUUUUCUCUCCACUAGGAAGUGAGACCUUCAAAUGCUGUUUCCUAGAUUUUGUCUGGGAUUUUCCUCCUUUGUUUCUCUUUAGUCCCUUACUUGUAACAGAUGGGGAGGGGAAUUGCAUGUACAAGUAAACUCUGCUGUUCAGGUAGGAAGUAUUCUUGUUCUGCUUUAGUUCUACAUUCCCCCACCUCUGAAAAAUAUUAACUUGAUAUUCCUUGACACGUGAAAGGCAAACUUCAUUCAGUUGUUUGAUGGGUAUUAUUCUAGUGAUCAUAGAAUAGCUUGGGUAUUGUUUAAUUUCAGCAUAGGGAUUCUGAAGAAGAUUACAUCCAAAGGCACAAACACUUU